RNAcentral lists this ribosomal RNA (516 nucleotides) under uncultured bacterium. Its description in RNAcentral is "partial 16S ribosomal RNA". It matches the Rfam family "Bacterial small subunit ribosomal RNA", at positions 28 to 523 of the family's 1533-position model. The record is from RNAcentral.
GAUGAACGCUGGCGGCGUGCCUAAUACAUGCAAGUCGAACGCAUUGAGAGAAGUGCUUGCACUUUUCAAUUUGAGUGGCGAACGGGUGAGUAACACGUGGGCAACCUACCUGAUAGCGGGGGAUAACGAGUGGAAACAUUCGCUAAUACCGCAUAACAAUAGAGAAGGCAUCUUCUGUAUUUGAAAGGCGCUUUCAAGCGUCACUAUCAGCUGGGCCCGCGGUGCAUUAGUUAGUUGGUGGGGUGAAGGCCUACCAAGACGAUGAUGCAUAGCCGAGUUGAGAGACUGAGCGGCCACAUUGGGAGCGAGACACGGCCCAAACUCCUACGGGAGGCUGCAGUAGGGAAUCUUACACAAUGGACGAAAGUCUGAUGGAGCAACGCCGCGUGUGUGAUGAAGGCUUUCGGGUCGUAAAGCACUGUUGUAUGGGAAGAAAUGCUAGGCUAGGAAAUGAGCUUAGUUUGACGGUACCAUACCAGAAAGGGACGGCUAAAUACGUGCCAGCCGCCGCAGUAA